Triticum urartu is the source of this 825-nucleotide non-coding RNA. The record is from RefSeq and is a predicted model, not a curated record. NCBI's taxonomy places the organism in Eukaryota, Viridiplantae, Streptophyta, Magnoliopsida, Poales, Poaceae.
CCUCCCAUUCCCCAUCGCCUCACAUCGCCGCCACCCUCCCCUCUUUGCCUGCCUCCUCCAAUAGCUAGCCGCCGGCCCUCCACCUCUCCUGCUCUCACCUCGCAGCACCAUGGAGCUUCCAGAUCCAACGGAUCCCCCACCAAUCCGUCCCUCUUCAACCCAUGGCUAAGAUCAACCAGGCUAUGCUCCUCCCGUGGGAUCCAUGGCGCGGGUUACCACGCAGCAGCUGAUCUGUGACGAGCAAGGCAGGGAAGAAGUGUUCCUUCUCAUGGUCUACCGCGCAGCUCGCCUUCCACGACGUCCUUGGAGAUGUAUGCUACUUCUUCAGCACCUACAAAAAUUCACGGGGCCGUGAAGAUCAGAAGCUGCAGCCGUACCACCACGGCGGUGGUGGCUAUGGAACCUUGGAGGAGUUGCUUAAGUUAUCAUGUGGGCACAACUAGGAAUAAACAAGAAGCUGAAAUGCGUGUACACAGAAUUGCAAUCUGAAGGAGCGAUGGAAGUGAAGAUUGAGCGCUUUUCUUUAACAUUAAUAAUAGAUGCUUUGGCAGUUGGUCCGUGUCACUGGAGAUUGAAGUUUUUUAGCACGAAUUACUUGGGCCUGAAUAGCUGCCUGGAAGUGGUGGUGUAGUGUUGGAGAUUAAAAUCAGCUAGUAGUGCAUUUUAGUCAUGUUUACUUGAUUUUUUUUAAAUGCUUAUGGUGCGUUCUAGUUAUGCUUGUGAUAUUUCGAUAUUAAGCUUUGUUUUUUGAAAUCAGACUAGUUUGUUGGAAAUCUGUAAUUGUGUUGUGAACAAGUGCUAUUAUUUGAAUGAAUAUAAUUUUGU